AGUUUGGGUAAGGGAGUUACUUUCAAUAGAGCGAAGAAUGAUAAGCUUCCCUCGUGACCAAGGUUGGAGCAAAGCUCGAAAAGCUUCAACUUUACUUUCUCAUAUAUUCGUAUGUUGGUAGUGAUCCACUGCACUUGAGACUCGUUUUCGUUCCCUUUGCGUUCGACUGUACGCAAAGCUUGCGGCAAAAGUUUACGUUAAGUACAUAGGAAGCAGACAGCCAACUUCCAGUAGCAAGUCCACUAACGGAUGCACAUCGGAACAUGCACUAAACUAGCAGCAAAGGGAGAGAGAGAAAGAGAGACUAUGCGAGCAUGAGAACCAUAGAGCGUUUGGCUCAUAAAGACAGCCCAAAUUUGGCGCCAAACGAUCCGCACGUCUCCCCCCCCCCCCUCGGACUGAUGCACGAAACGCAGAAGGGUGCCCGAAGAAGAAGGACCAUCGCCACCAAGGACGGCCGGGGGCAACCGCACCCCUGGCUGGGACCAAAACUGUGACGGUGUGCAGUUGGCAUGUAACGCAUUUCUGUGCCGCCCAUUUAACCAUUAAAUCUAGUGGCAAAUCGGCCAGCCAGUGACCACCACUUGCUUGCCUGCCUGCCUGUCUGCUGCCCAUUACGCAUCACCGUAACCACCGUGGCCGGACGUAUAGGUAAUAAAAUUGGUUUUAUAACGCUUUAUGAUCACACAUUAUCGCCAUUUAAGCGCACGCUCGACCCGAAGGAAUUUAUUUUCAUACGUGUGACAAUCGGGGGUUUUU
Molecule: long non-coding RNA, 759 nt
Organism: Anopheles merus
Lineage: Eukaryota; Metazoa; Arthropoda; Insecta; Diptera; Culicidae
Exons: 3
Source: RefSeq, a predicted model, not a curated record